CCCUAUAAAGUUUAUACAUGAAGUUGGUUAAGAGUGAUUUAGGGCGUUAAAGUUUAUUAUUAGCAGGGUGUUUAGUUGGGGUGACUGAGAUAUAAAUUAUAUAACUGUUUUUUGUUUAAAUCAGAGAUACUUGUUCUUAUGAUCCCUUUUUAGGAUUAGAGAAAAAAUUACUUUAGGGAUAACAGCGUAAUUUUUUUUAAGAGUUCUUAUCGACAAAAGAGUUUGCGACCUCGAUGUUGAAUUAAAAAUUUCUUUGUGGUGUAGCAGCUACAGAAGAAGGUCUGUUCGACCUUUAAAUUUUUACAUGAUUUG
RNAcentral lists this ribosomal RNA (312 nucleotides) under Cherax lorentzi aruanus. Its description in RNAcentral is "partial 16S ribosomal RNA". The stretch from base 178 to 312 matches the Rfam family "Bacterial large subunit ribosomal RNA", at positions 2473 to 2607 of the family's 2925-position model. Lineage: Eukaryota; Metazoa; Arthropoda; Malacostraca; Decapoda; Parastacidae. The record is from RNAcentral.